CCCCGCUCAUCUCAGGAGCCCAGCUGACUUCCCCCAGUGGAUCGUUUUAGGGCUGCAGGCGGAGCUGCCCACCACUCCUAUACUGUGGCGAGGGGCAGGGAGCAUCUGUCGGGGAGCCCAAGGCAGGUCCUUCAGGAGGGAUUCCAGAAGAAGGCAUUGUUAUCAUAGGAGAUGACAGCUCCAUGCCUGUUUGUGCCCGUGAAGACCUCCCAGUGGGACAAGAUGUGGAGGUGGAAGACAAUAAUAUUGAUGAUCCUGACCUGUGUAAAGGCCAAGCCUACACAGCGUUAACUGCAGUGGAAGAUUGUGCUUUUAUCAGAAGCAGCUGAACACCUGAGGACAGGAACAUGGCUGAAGCAAUUCAUUUCUCCAAUUCACUUUGUUCUACUUUAUCAUCAUCAUUCCGGUAUUAUCAUCAUGUUCAUCAGAUUCUCCAUCUAAAAAAGAUUUAUCACAGUGUCUGCAUCUGCAGGCGAUACUACAAUAUAGAUAAAACCAUUGCUCCCUGCCUGCUCCGGAUGAGUUUGCAAAGAGGUAUGGUAUAGAAGAAACACUUUGUGCUUUGAAGCAAGACAAAACUGAGUUAAAAUGGCAAUCUUAGCCUGGGCAACAUAGUGAGACCCCCAUCUCUGCAAAAAAUACAAAAAUUAGCUGAGCAUGGUGGUGCAUCUGUAGUCCCAGCUACUCGGUAGGCUAAGGCAGGAGAAUCGUCCGAACUUGGGAAAUUGAGGCUACAGUGAGCCAUGAUCGUGCCACUGCACUCCAGCCUGGGUGACAGAGAGAGACCCUGUCUCAAAAAAAUAAAAAAUAAAAUUGCG
Molecule: long non-coding RNA, 818 nt
Filed under: Homo sapiens (human)
Lineage: Eukaryota; Metazoa; Chordata; Mammalia; Primates; Hominidae
Description: HSALNT0102008
Source: RNAcentral